RNAcentral lists this ribosomal RNA (527 nucleotides) under uncultured fungus. Its description in RNAcentral is "eukaryotic LSU rRNA". The stretch from base 213 to 367 matches the Rfam family "5.8S ribosomal RNA". Lineage: Eukaryota; Fungi. The record is from RNAcentral.
GCGCGAAGGAUCAUUAGCGAAGCUCGCGAAUGCGUGUCCGGUCUGAUGCUGCCCAGCGAUGGGAUGUGCUCGUCCGGAUGCGUGUCCCUUCUCUAUUCCACCCCUUUGUGAACCAAGUGUGCGAGCCGAAGAGAGAUCGGAGGCUCGCAUGCAACCCUUAACAUACCCCAAUGAAGUAUCAGAAUGUACCUUGCGUUAACUCGCACAAAUACAACUUUCAACAACGGAUCUCUUGGCCCCUCGCAUCGAUGAAGAACGCAGCGAAAUGCGAUAAGUAAUGUGAAUUGCAGAAUUCAGUGAAUCAUCGAAUCUUUGAACGCACCUUGCGCCCCUUGACAUUCCGAGGGGCACGCCUGUUUGAGUGUCGUGAACUCCUCCACCCUCCACCUUUUUCGGAAGGCGUUGGGCUGGGAUUUGGGAGCUUGCGGGUCCCUGGCCGAUCCGCUCUCCUUUGAAUACAUUAGCGAAGCCCUUUGCGGCCUUGGUGUGAUAGUCAUCUACGCCUCGGUUUAGCGAACAUACGGAAU